Molecule: ribosomal RNA, 253 nt
Filed under: uncultured bacterium
Lineage: Bacteria
Description: partial 16S ribosomal RNA
Rfam family: Bacterial small subunit ribosomal RNA
Source: RNAcentral
UACGUAGGGUGCGAGCGUUGUCCGGAAUUACUGGGCGUAAAGGGCGCGUAGGCGGCCUUCUAAGUCGAACGUGAAAUCCCUGGGCUCAACCCAGGAACUGCGUCCGAUACUGGAAGGCUUGAAUCCGGGAGAGGGAUGCGGAAUUCCAGGUGUAGCGGUGAAAUGCGUAGAUAUCUGGAGGAACACCGGUGGCGAAGGCGGCAUCCUGGACCGGCAUUGACGCUGAGGCGCGAAAGCCAGGGGAGCAAACGGG